RNAcentral lists this ribosomal RNA (300 nucleotides) under uncultured Alteromonadaceae bacterium. Its description in RNAcentral is "bacterial SSU rRNA". It matches the Rfam family "Bacterial small subunit ribosomal RNA", at positions 114 to 417 of the family's 1533-position model. The record is from RNAcentral. Lineage: Bacteria; Pseudomonadati; Pseudomonadota; Gammaproteobacteria; Alteromonadales; Alteromonadaceae.
CGCGUGGGAAUCUACCCAGUAGUGGGGGACAACAGUUGGAAACGACUGCUAAUACCGCAUACGUCCUAUGGGAGAAAGCAGGGGAUCUUCGGACCUUGUGCUAUUGGAUGAGCCCGCGUGAGAUUAGCUAGUUGGUAAGGUAAUGGCUUACCAAGGCGACGAUCUCUAACUGGUUUGAGAGGAUGAUCAGUCACACUGGAACUGAGACACGGUCCAGACUCCUACGGGAGGCAGCAGUGGGGAAUAUUGCACAAUGGGGGAAACCCUGAUGCAGCCAUGCCGCGUGUGUGAAGAAGGCUC